RNAcentral lists this ribosomal RNA (517 nucleotides) under uncultured Acidobacteriota bacterium. RNAcentral's name for it is "bacterial SSU rRNA". It matches the Rfam family "Bacterial small subunit ribosomal RNA", at positions 389 to 896 of the family's 1533-position model. The record is from RNAcentral. Lineage: Bacteria; Pseudomonadati; Acidobacteriota.
ACGCAACGCCGCGUGGAGGAUGAAGGCCUUCGGGUCGUAAACUCCUGUUGAUCGGGAAGAAUGGGCUCCGGGUUAAUACUCCGGGGCAAUGACGGUACCGAUUGAGGAAGCCACGGCUAACUCUGUGCCAGCAGCCGCGGUAAUACAGAGGUGGCAAGCGUUGUUCGGAAUUACUGGGCGUAAAGGGCGCGUAGGCGGCCUUCUUAGUCAGACGUGAAAUUCCUAGGCUUAACCUAGGAACUGCGUCUGAUACUGGAAGGCUCGAGUUCGGGAGAGGAAUGUGGAAUUCCAGGUGUAGCGGUGAAAUGCGUAGAUAUCUGGAGGAACACCGGUGGCGAAGGCGGCAUUCUGGACCGAAACUGACGUUGAGGCGCGAAAGCCAGGGGAGCAAACGGGAUUAGAUACCCCGGUAGUCCUGGCCCUAAACGAUGAGUGCUUGGUGUGGCGGGUAUCGAUCCCUGCCGUGCCGAAGCUAACGCAUUAAGCACUCCGCCUGGGGAGUACGGUCGCAAGGCUG